This 427-nucleotide ribosomal RNA is filed under the name uncultured bacterium. RNAcentral's name for it is "partial 16S ribosomal RNA". It matches the Rfam family "Bacterial small subunit ribosomal RNA", at positions 355 to 774 of the family's 1533-position model. The record is from RNAcentral.
UGGGGAAUAUUGGACAAUGGGCGAAAGCCUGAUCCAGCCAUGCCGCGUGUGUGAAGAAGGUCUUCGGAUUGUAAAGCACUUUAAGUUGGGAGGAAGGGCAUUAACCUAAUACGUUAGUGUUUUGACGUUACCGACAGAAUAAGCACCGGCUAACUCUGUGCCAGCAGCCGCGGUAAUACUGAGGGUGCAAGCGUUAAUAGGAAUUACUGGGCGUAAAGCGCGCGUAGGUGGUUUGUUAAGUUGGAUGUGAAAUCCCCGGGCUCAACCUGGGAACUGCAUUCAAAACUGACUGACUAGAGUAUGGUAGAGGGUGGUGGAAUUUCCUGUGUAGCGGUGAAAUGCGUAGAUAUAGGAAGGAACACCAGUGGCGAAGGCGACCACCUGGACUAAUACUGACACUGAGGUGCGAAAGCGUGGGGAGCAAACA